This 116-nucleotide ribosomal RNA is filed under the name Buchnera aphidicola (Anoecia oenotherae). RNAcentral also lists the same sequence under 1 other name. The record is from RNAcentral. Lineage: Bacteria; Pseudomonadati; Pseudomonadota; Gammaproteobacteria; Enterobacterales; Erwiniaceae.
CCUGGUUAUUAUAGUAAUGUGGUACCACCUGAAACCAUACCGAACUCAGAAGUGAAACACUUUAACGCCAAUGGUAGUACGGGGUCUCCCCGUGUGAGAGUAGGAAAUUUCCAGGU